This is a long non-coding RNA of Ficedula albicollis (Collared flycatcher), 1622 nucleotides long. RefSeq lists it as uncharacterized. Lineage: Eukaryota; Metazoa; Chordata; Aves; Passeriformes; Muscicapidae. The transcript has 4 exons. The record is from RefSeq and is a predicted model, not a curated record.
CCCCCUGUUCCCAUCGCUUCCCAUCGCUUCCCAUCGGAAGCGCAGAUGGUGCCGAAGCUCCAUCAGGGCUGCGAGCAGUGCAAGGCUGGAGACCCUCAGACCAAAGCUUUAUAAUAGCACCCAGGCACUUCACUCCCGCUGUACUCAACGAGGGUCCGACACUCGAACAGCUUCGUGGGUCUGGGUGUAAGAAGGUGCAAGAUCAAGGGAAGUAGGCUAACGUGGGUUUUGGAGCUUUUCAUUCGGCAACUACAUCUUAUGGCGUAUUUUCAUAAAGCACGUUCAGUUUGUCCCUCUGGUAACGCAAGCUGCUGUAUUUUUGGUGGUUUUUUAUAUUCCCAUUUAGAUGGGAAAUACUGGAUUGUUUAGCAUGAGGAUAACACUUUAAAUGAACAUCUUUUCACUUUAGUAGUCGAUGUUUAUUUUUAAGCUGGAAAAGAGCAGAUGGGCAGCUAUCAACAAGCACAGGACAGUGGCAAGAACAGCUGGACAAUGCGUUAGCUCAUCUCUAUUUAAAAGUAUCUAAUUAGGACUUCAAUAUCAGAAGUCACUUAAAAAUGGAAAACAAGUUCUGACUACAAACAUGAAACAAAUUUCCCUCUGUUCAUCACUGGUGAAGUUCAGCAACCAGCUUUACUUAUGGACUUUUCAGUCUAUUUAGAAUAUUUAUACUGACAGUUUCCAAAGAAAAGAAGAAACAGGAUAUGGGAACAACACAGACUUUGGAUGUAGCAUCUACUGAAAAAUUCAUUAGCCUUCUUCAGGAAAUUGCUUGUGGUUUAAAACAGAGACCUCUGAUGUACCAGCAAAUACAUCUCCCAGGGGCCAGAAUCUGCAUUUCACACACAAAACCCACUUUGGCUAGCUCAGGUGUCUGCCUAAGCACCAGUGUGUAAAUCAAGGCAAAGAUGCAGAGGAUGGAGAAACAUGCUCCUGGAGCUGUGGCACAUGAAAGAGCACAUCUUCAGAACACAGCACAAGCUCUGCAAACCACGAUAACAUGUGACAGAAACUAUUUGAACAACCAAGAAAAAACAGCUAUUUACCUGAAUGAAAAUUUAUUGAAGGUUAGAUGCUGCUGCGCCCACCACCUCAGCUCACCCCCGAGUCCUCGGCAUGUCUGGCACGCAAAGGCUGGCCUCAGGUUUCUUGAAAGGCUUGUGAUUUUCUGCCCUGAGUUGCCAUCCAAAUGUGAAGCAUCCAGCUUUCCUGCACAACAGCACAGACCCUGGAAAGUCCCAGCUCCUGCUGUGUCACCCAGGCUUUGAAAGGAUCACAACAGGCCUAGGGCAGCUGGGGAGUCACAUGGUCCUUCAUUCCCACAUGGUUUAAUCAGCAAGUCCCAACAAGGUGGAUGUUAUCUUCCAAAAGCAUGGAGAGGACCUCGGAGCUAUGCGUAGCCCAAAGAACCACUUCAGAAGAUAAAACCCCAAGAGAAAUAAGAGACAAAACACACUUCAGUCAAAAACAGUAGUUUUACCUGUUUAGACUGUGGCAUACACUGCAGCAUAACCCUGGCAUCAGGCUAAACAGAAGCAGCCAAGGUCUCCAGGUGCCUGGAAUUAUACAAGUGCUUAAGAAUGUAAUUGAGAAAAGCACAUAAGGAACACAAGUGGUGUCAG